RNAcentral lists this ribosomal RNA (407 nucleotides) under uncultured bacterium. RNAcentral's name for it is "partial 16S ribosomal RNA". It matches the Rfam family "Bacterial small subunit ribosomal RNA", at positions 360 to 774 of the family's 1533-position model. The record is from RNAcentral.
AAUAUUGCGCAAUGGAGGGAACUCUGACGCAGCGACGCCGCGUGAGCGAUGAAGGUCUUCGGAGCGUAAAGAUCUGUCCUUGGGGAAGAAGGUCUUCGGACUUGACGGUACCUAAGGAGGAAGCCUCGGCUACAUACGGUCAAGCAGCCGCGGUAAUACGCAGGGGGCAAGCGUUGUCCGGAAUUAUUGGGCGUAUAUGGUGCGUAGGCGGCCUUUUAAGUCAGAUGUGAAAGACCACGGCUUAACUGUGGGGCUGCAUUUGAAACUAGAAGGCUUGAGUUUCGGAGAAGGUAGUGGAAUUCCCGGUGUAGCGAUGAAAUGCGUAGAUAUCGGGAGGAACACCAGUGGCGAAGGCGACUACCUGGUCGAGAACUGACGCUGAUGCACGAAAGCUAGGGGAGCAAACA